CUAACUGCUGUUCAGGGUUAGACUAAGCCAUGCAAGUCGAACGCCCAAGUCAUGUCCUUGGUGCGUGGCGAACUGCUCCGUAACACGUCGUUAAUCUGCCCUACAGGGGGGAUAAUCUCGGGAAACUGAGGCUAAUACCCCAUAGGCGAUUUGUUGUGGAAUUCAUAUUUCGCUCAAAGCGUGCCUGAGACUAUGUGAUGGCAUUGCGCUGUAGGAUGAGACGGCGGUGGAUUAACCUGUUGGUGGGGUAACGGCCCACCAAAGUUAUGAUCCGUACGGGCUCUGAGAGGAGUAGCCCGGAGAUGGGAACUGAGACAACGUCCCAAGCCCUACGGGGUGCAGCAGGCGCGGAAACUACGCAAUGCGCGAAAGCGUGACGUGGUAACCCUGAGUGCCGCGAUAGUCGUGGCUUUUAUUCAGCGUAAAUAGCUGGAUGAAUAAGGAGAGGGCAAGGCUGGUGCCAGCCGCCGCGGUAAAACCAGCUCUUCGAGUGGUUAGGAUUAUUAUUGGGCCUAAAGCGUGCGUAGCCGGGCUACUAAGCCCCUGGUUAAAUCCGACAGCUUAACUGUUUGGGCUGCUAGGGGUACUGGUAGUCUUGGAGGCGGGAGAGGUGAGCGGUACUUCAUGGGUAGGGGUGAAAUCCUAUCAUCCAUGGGGGACCACCGAUGGCGAAGGCAGCUCACUAGAACGCGCUCGACGGUGAGGCACGAAACCCAGGGGAGCGAACCGGAUUAGAUACCCGGGUAGUCCUGGGCGUAAACGAUGCUAGCUAGGUGUUCGUCAAGCUUCGAGCUUGUCUAGUGCCGAAGGGAAGCCGUUAAGCUAGCCGCCUGGGGAGUACGGUCGCAAGACUGAAACUUAA
This 862-nucleotide ribosomal RNA is filed under the name uncultured archaeon. Its description in RNAcentral is "bacterial SSU rRNA". It matches the Rfam family "Archaeal small subunit ribosomal RNA", at positions 23 to 859 of the family's 1478-position model. The record is from RNAcentral.